UGUUGUUGAUCGACUCGAUUGUUUGAAUUUAAAAAAAUCAUGGCGAAAAAGGGUGUGAGUAGAUCUGACUGCGAAUUGAAGGCAAGUUUUUUAGUUAUUGAGAGUGACGUACGUUACUGCCUGAAGCGCGCGUUCAUCGUAAAUCGCAUUGGGUCCGGCGUCCGGUGAAUUCUCGGAAAUAUUGGAAACUUGUGGCAAGUGGCUUAUCGUUUAAUUUUUAGUCGAAGAUUCGCUUGAAUUGGUGGAUGCGGAGAAUGAUUGAAAGAAGACAGCAAUUUAUCAGCGCUGCAAGAAUUCCAUUCGCGUCGGUUUUCGUUAAUUAAUUUUUAAUUGUAGAUAUGGAAAAGUUACAUUUUCUGCCGGGUUACAAAUCUCGCCAUUUUUUAUGAGAAUUCCAUGUUAAAGUAGGCGUGGCGAAAACUGUAACUCGGCGGCGAAAACUGUGACUUUUCCAUAAUAUGUAUUAUAAUGUUAUUUAAACUUGAUUAAUGUUUAGUUUGCUCUCCAAAAUGGCGAGACAAAUAAUGUGCAUAUCUUUUUAAUUAUGAAAAUUACUAUGAAAAUACACUCUCAUUAUGCAAAAACAUUCAUCGAAUAUUAUUUUAAAAUAUUGCCCCAAUAUAAAGAGCAUAAAAAAUAUUCGCAAAAUAUUAUUAAAAUGACCUCGGAAAUAUUGGUGAAAUCUUAAAAUAACAUUUUCCAAACAUUGCUCAGUAUUAAAAAUAAAUAUUACCUUUAAAUGUUCCAUAAAUAAUUACCGAAGAUAAAAAGCGUGUCAAAUAUUAUUCACUGAAUAUUAAAAAUAAAUUUAACCAAAAUGUUCUAGGAACAUUCAGCAAUAUUCUA
Long non-coding RNA from Cloeon dipterum, 846 nucleotides. RefSeq lists it as uncharacterized. The record is from RefSeq and is a predicted model, not a curated record. NCBI's taxonomy places the organism in Eukaryota, Metazoa, Arthropoda, Insecta, Ephemeroptera, Baetidae. The transcript has 2 exons.